This 74-nucleotide transfer RNA is filed under the name Phycisphaerae bacterium. RNAcentral describes it as "tRNA-Met". It matches the Rfam family "tRNA". From Rfam's summary of the family: Transfer RNA (tRNA) molecules are approximately 80 nucleotides in length. The record is from RNAcentral. Lineage: Bacteria; Pseudomonadati; Planctomycetota; Phycisphaerae.
CGCGGGGUAGAGCAGCCUGGUAGCUCGUCGGGCUCAUAACCCGGAGGUCGUUGGUUCGAAUCCAGCCCCCGCUA